GACACCGUUUCCCCGUUUCCUAAAGUUCCCAUUCCCUAACCGUCAUGCGGUUGACCCUAACUGAAACUGCCAGAAACACAGAACACAACCAAAAAGUCGUUAACCUCAACACCACCGUACACGGCGAUGGCCACCACACAACCACCAUUCCUUCUCCGCCACAUAAUAAAAUCCGACCAAAAAAUAUCUCUCUUACUCCACACUCUCUUCCACUCUUACCUCCCAUCAUCUCUCCUCCUCUUCCUCGAACUCUCCGCCGAUUUCCGCUUCUCCUUCCCAAUAUCCCUCGCACUUUCCUUCUCGCCGACUCUCCUGUCAUUCCUUUCCCCUCUCCUUUUCGGUCUCCUCCUCGACCUAGCUCUCGUCGGCCUAAUUAAAGUCACCUUCCGCCGCUCUCGCCCUCCCUACAAUCCCAAAAUGUCCCCCGCAGUUUCUGCCGACAAUUAUUCCUUCCCUAGCGGCCACGCGUCUCGCGUUUUCUUUAUCGCCUCUCUAGUUUCGCUUUCGAAACCUCAGAUUUUAACUGCUCUUCUAGAAUUGAAUAAAACACGUGGCUGGCUUGAUGGAUAUGAUGAGAAUAAAGUGUUGGAAAUCGCUGUGUUUGUUGUGUGUGUUUGGGCGUUAAUUACUGCUGUAUCUAGGGUUUUGCUAGGUCGGCAUUUUUUACUUGAUGUUUUAUUUGGUGCUUGUUUGGGGGUUUUUGAAGGAAUUAUCGCCUUUCGGUUUCUCCGAUUUGAGGAUUUCUUGAGCAACUUGCUUAACUAUCAAUGGAGUGGCCAAAAAUUAAACUAAAGUGAUUUGAUUGAAGUCGUAGCUGUAGGAGAUGCUUACAUGGUCCCUAAUUGCGACACAUUGGGAUAUGCAGUUAUUUCUAACAUUUUCCAGAUGGCAGAUACAUGUUGAGAACAUAACAUCCUAUUCGCGCUAUGCUAGCCCCAGAAUGCUUUGCUGGAUUGGUUUAAGGAUUAGCUAACGCAUAUCACUCGGCUAUUCUAUUCUUUGCUUCCGAAACAGCUUUGGAGAGUUGAAAAUUAAUUCUCUUAUUGAUCUUUCCACUCUGUUGGUUGUCAUGUAGGGAACUCAUGGAUAACUUGGGUUGCUGCGGCAAGGAUUUAAUUGUGUUGUGAGAAGGUAACUAUUCUUAUCGAUUUCUAAUCUAAAAGCAGUUAGCUCAAUAAUUAACUCAGCGUGUUCUUUUGCAAAGUUUUUUUUUUUUUUUUUAAGAUAUAUGAUAACUUGAUAAGCUUUAUCUGAUAAGAUAAUGUUGAUUGAUUGAUGUGUUUUCUUUAGCUUUCUAUGCAAUUUGGAAAAAGACAUUCUAAACUUUACUAGAUUAGCUCCCACAAUUUGAAAUAUUUUAGUUGCAUCAUUGCGAUAUUAUCAUGGUAGAAAUGUGGUAUACAUCCAGACUAAAAGGAUUUUUCAACAUUUCUUUUUGAUUUAGUGAACUAAAGGGACCCUGACAUCUAUUGGCAUCAAAUGGAAUCAAAGGAUCAUUCUUACUGUAUCUACAUGUUCAUAUGUUGUUGAAAAUUAAACUUUAGACUUCAUGUGUGAUUAUUGUUUUUGUGUCUAUUUCUAAUUGCUGUUGCUGAAAACAAUUUGCACUUGCAUGCUACAUUUUGUUGGUAAUCGCAUAUGUGUGCUCCUGUAGAAACUAGGGAUCGUCUUUAUCAAUCCUACCACCAAUGGGCCCCUAAAACUUAUGCCAUCUACAAGGGGUUAGUCUAAUUGGCUGGUGGGUUUUGCUCAUAUUCUCUCGGUUUAAAUUCUCCUAGAUGUACUGCAUACCCUUGGUGUAUGGUGUGUCUUUUCGUACUUAUAGAGGGAUGAAUUAGUCUAGGGUAUGCAAAAACUGAACCCCAACCAAAACAAAUUUGGUUUGGUUUGGUUUGAAAUAAUUAAAAAUUCAGUUUUGGAUUCAGCUCAGUUUGGUUUGAAAUAUUUAAAAUUCUUAUAUAAUCGGUUUGGUUUGAUUCUGAAGAAAAUUAAAAUCUUGAUUUGGUUUGAUUUGGUUCAGACGAAUUCAUGCCCCUAGACUGCGGUAAAGCUAACAUGCCACCAGUUUAGUUUCUUCCCUUUCUUUUCAUUUUUUUUCUUUCAGAAACGUCCAUUUUUCCUUUUAGUUGCCAACAUGCAAAUGAGGUUUGUUUAGGAUUGAUUGAAAUGCUGUUCAAGCUUGUGUAUUUGCUGAAGGCUACUUCUGUGCCUUUUUGCUUUUCAAUUUUGUUUUAGAACUAGCUCCACACUCUUUUGGAUCACAAAACUGACCCAUCCACUAUUCAGGCUUUAGUAGAGGAUUGAUCAUGUGUAUUUGCUAUCUUGGCAUUGAAAUUUCUUUCAGAAAACAAACGUUUCAUGCUUUGUGGCAAUUAUCUAGCUUUCGCUUUAGAAAUAGUUCCUUCCAACCAAGUCAACAAUAACAAGAAGCUGUCAUUUUCCGUAACACAUCAUUGGGUAACUUUUUCAUCUGCAUUCUUAGAAAAUUGGGGUUGAGAUCAUGAGAAUCUCUAUGAUUAUAGCACUUAGUACAGAAAUGCAUUACCCUUUGCCAAAAAAUCAAAAUUUUGAACUAAUUUACAUACAGUUAAUAAUUGCGGGGGACCAUAGAUUUCUGUAUAUGAAUUCAUCUUAUCUUCAUUAGUUUACCCACCAACUAAAUAGUGUGCAUUCUAUUUAUACUGGAAGGAAGCAAAGGAUUUAGUACAAAAACGACACGACUUAUGCCUAAGAUUUCGUCAACAUCUUCUUCACCUUCACAUGGAGCUUCAAAUAGCAGGAAUGGUUAAUGAUGUUGUUUAGUAGAACUGUCGCUAGUUCAACUUCUACAUUGAUAUGUCUAUGCAGAUAGCUCUAGCCACGGUCCGGUUUGAGUCUGGAAUCGGCCAAACCCGUAACUGGGCCCGAACCGCACAGAAACCGCGGGAGAACCGUUCCGGAACGGUUCUAUUUUUCUUAGAACCGUGAACUGGCGGUUCUGUACCGUAAAUGCCGGGUCAUUAACCUUGGCCAGAGCUAUAUGCAGGGGACCCAAGAUAACAGUGAUAGAAAAGAGAAGUGAAAUUCAAAAUUUGGACCGACAUGGUGAAGCUAUAUGUAUUAAGUGGCAGAAAUGUUGGACCAAAAAGACCAGUCAAAGUAUUUCAUUUAAGUUUUAGGACCAAACUAAGAUAAAAAAAAAAUGAUGAGCUGAGAGAGAAAUGAAAAAGGGUUAGGGUAGCAGCUGGUAUAUGUAUUGAUAAAAGCUUGGUGAGUUCGUACUGUUACUGUCAACAUUGUCAUUGAUCAUUCUGCUAAAUCAAAAAAAUGACAUGUGAUGUGAGGAUAACUGGGUCUUCUGCUCUUUCUACAAAAACAUACAAAUUUUAAUUUUGGGAUUUUUGUCUUGUGGAUUGGAAUUGGUCAUUGGCAAUACUUGAAACUGAUUUUCUUUGGUCAGAACUGGUCUUUCCAUUUUCCCAUAAAAAGGAGUUUUGAGGACCACUUGGAAUUUAUUAUAUACAUGGUUUUGGAUUGAAUGUUUUAUUUUUUGUUUCUUUUAAAUUUUUCUUUUUGGGUUUGGUUUGGUUUUGAGUCUCAGCCACUUGAUGAUUAUCAAUGAUCAUCAGUGGCAGAAAGGCAGAGAACCUGGGGCAGAAAAUGUUCAGAAGAGAGACACUGACACAAGAUGGAAGAUAAAUACUGAAACUGGAUCACUCAUCUACACUAUAUUGUCAAUGUGGGCCUAGCCUGAAUGGUUAAGGCGUCUCUAAGUGCAUCGAAAGGUUGUGGGUUCGAACCACGCUUCGGUAACUAACAACUAACAUGAGACUCUUUCCACCUUUGAUAAAAAAAAUCUACACUAUAUUUUUAUGUGUGUAUGCUUAGCUAAGCUGGGAAUAAGACAUUUUAGUUCUUCAUUUUGAAGAAUGUGAGAACUUAAAUACUCUGAAGAGUAAUUCAACUAACUCCUCUCAUCAAGGAUAGAAUGUAAUUAAUUUCUUAUCAUUUAGGUAAAAUUUAAUUUAAUUGGUGUAUUGA
This is an RNA transcript of Mercurialis annua (annual mercury), 4020 nucleotides long. It is a transcript of the gene named probable lipid phosphate phosphatase beta, with no coding region annotated. The record is from RefSeq and is a predicted model, not a curated record. Lineage: Eukaryota; Viridiplantae; Streptophyta; Magnoliopsida; Malpighiales; Euphorbiaceae. The transcript is spliced from 3 exons.